RNAcentral lists this long non-coding RNA (1116 nucleotides) under Equus asinus (donkey). RNAcentral's name for it is "lncRNA (ENSEASG00005025018.1)". Lineage: Eukaryota; Metazoa; Chordata; Mammalia; Perissodactyla; Equidae. The record is from RNAcentral.
GCUGCUUCCUUUUUCUGAGCCCUGGGCUGCCUAGAAAUGACUGCUUUCCCAGCGAAGGUGACCCUCAGCCAAUGAUUGACAGACAUGCGAUGCAAAACGCUGGUCUCUUGUCUGAAGGUCGGAUGACUCUGCGGUGCCAUCAGUGUUACAGAGCUCCCUGUGGGAUCAGGCUGAGGGAAAAUUUAGGAAUCUGCUCGGGGUGAGGCUGAGAGUUCUGAUAAAGCGUUCCUGCAGGUGGAAGUCGGCCACAGCCUGGCUCUGCGGGAAGCAGAGAAGUGCACCCACCUUUCCUCUCUGUGCUCGUCUCUGCAUCACCUGACCUGCAUCUCAUGUGCCCACAGCCUUUCCUGCAUUAAAAUGUCUUCUCAGGAGAGGAUCAGCUAUCAGUCAACUACACCUUCAUGUGAAUUUGAAAUAUUGCAUGCUCUUCUCCAGGAGAAUUCGGAAACUAGAUGUGUAUUUGGGUAAUAAAAAAUACUGUUCCCAUUAGAAGACUUCAGCGAGCAAUGGGUGUAGGAAGUAUUUCUUGGAGCAAAAAGUGGAAGAAGAGUGGGAAAAAAAGCAUCCUUCCAAAACCUCCUAUUUUCAUAUGUAAAGAUAUUCCCGGCUAAAGGGGCUGUGGGGGUCUUAUCCCCUUCCUGGAAGUAUAAGUGAUGAUCACAGGUGCCUUUUGGAGACCCUGGAGAACUGAUAUAGGAGUUGAGAUGCAGGUGAAAUUUGGAGUUCAGCGGUGGCAGGAGCUCAGUGGGUGUGGGGGAGAGGUGACCUUGAGAAGAUAUGAUGGAGAGUUAGCCCAAUCUUGCAGAGCACAUUAACCUUCUCACAGAACCUGAGAUGGGGCUGGAUUCAAUUUCACUUAAUCUGGAAUGUCAGAGAGGCCUCAGCUGACCCCCAGGUGGUAGAUAAACAGGAGCAGCUGAGAGACCUCAGUCCUAGGCCUGGCUCCUUCCUCAUGGUGUCAACUUAAGCAAAUCUCUUUACCCCACGUGGUAGGCUGGACAGUGGCCUCCAGAGAUGUCCAUGUCCUAAUCUCCAGAACCUGUGAAUGUUACUUUAUCUGGCAAAAGGGACUUCGCUGAUGUGAUUAAAUUGAGGAUCUUGAAAUAGGCAGAUUAU